CAGGCUGGCACAGGACUCUGUGGACUCUCUCACUUGAAAGAAGGGAAGUGGUCUUUGGGGGAGCGUCUGGCAGGCUGAUCACGCAACAAUAGCAGCAGGGUGGCAGUCAUAUAGUCUGCCCUCCCACUCAGUGCUACCUACCCCUGCCAAACAGAGAGCAUCAUGGGAAGCCCAUCUCACCCUCCUCCAUCCAACAGGCCAGCGUCGCUCCGAUCCAAAGCGCCCACUGCAGCAGGACAAGCCCGUCGCAGAGAGCCAGAUGGCCCAGGAACACAGUGGAGGGCUUGGUGGAGAUGUGUGGGGAGCGAAGCAGCAGCAGAGCGCGCAGGCUCAACAUGCAGCCCACCAGCAGCUGAACGCCAACUCCAUGUGGGAACAACAGCACCGUCACCAGCUUCAGCAGCAAGAACCGCCGCAGCCAUCCUCUGGAGGCCGACAGCACUCCUUGUGUGACCGACCCCGGCCAGCACCAAGAGCUGAUUUCCCAGAGUGACUUUAAAAGUUGGUGUGAUCUGCAGAUAGGAACAGUAUUUUGAAAAUUUUGAAAAGUCCCACUCACACCUCAUUCUGGCAGAUGAACAAUACAUCCCUGUGCUCCGCCCGUUGAAAGGAAAAACACAUUAUUGUUCUUUCUCUUUUUUAUGACUCAGCUGUCAUGUUAACUAAGUAGGGAGAGGCCCUGGCAAGCAACCACCGAUAAAUUCUUUCGUUUUAUAGGUAUCAUUUAACAUGACCGAGGCUGAACCUCAUCAGACCCUCUCUUAUUUGAAUUCCACCACAAAAAUCAUUGUGAUAUUUAUUUUAUUUUAAUAUAAAGGACGACGUAGCAACAUAUAGCAGAAUAUGACACUAAGGACAUUAGUAUAUAAGUAUUUAUGUCAAUCUCCGUAUCCAAAGAUUAUAUGGUAAUUAAUAAAAAUGUAUUUAAACAGAUUAUUUAGUGUUUGUAUGGGACUCACCUGUGAAUUGGCAGGAAGUUGAGAUUGAAAGUCAUUGUCCAGUUCCACCUAAAUGUGGCCCAAUGACUUUUCUCCCCUCAUAAUGUCCCGUCCCGACCUGGCUGUAAGUGAGGGUAUAGUCUCCUCUUCCUACUCUUUAUCAACACCAGUUGCUUAAACUCGACGGGCUCAGUUUACAAAUGUCAUCAUGUCUCGCCUGGAGAUGAGCCAAACUUCAUCUGACUCACACCGGUAGGGAGUCUUACUGAGGCGGUUUAUCCCUGCACCACUUGUAAACCUGUGUGUUUUUCCAUAGAGCACAGACCCAAAAAAAGGAACUCUGUGUGGGAGAGCUGUUGCCAGGGAGCGAGCUGCCGAGAUGCAGUGUAUGCAUUCAUCUGAAUGUACGCAUAGCAUCCUGACCCCUCAGUACUAAGGAACUACUCUCCAAGACCAAUUCACACUGACUAAUCACUGCAAAUCCCUGUUACUACAUGGCUGCAUAUAAACCCUGAAGGUAUGCAAGUUAUAUUGUCAAAACUUGAUAGUCAUUCCAUGAUUUAUAUCCCUGAAUCAACACCGAUAACCUCUCACACAUGACAAUGUUUUGGAUGUUGUUUUAGGGCAGGCAGGCUGAGACACAUCCGUAUCCGUAGCAACUAGGGUGUGACCAACAUAACUACUCUUUGUAAUGGCUGGCAUGUGAUGUGAUUCUCCCUGAAACUGACUAAUAUCUUGUCUCACCCUGGCAUUAUGAUUUGUGUUGCUUAAUUUAUCAGUUUCAGUAUGUCUCUGUACUAUGUACUAUAUAAUAUAUAUGCGGUAAAGUAUCAUAUAAUGUAUUAAUACAGUCUGUCAAUUACAAUGAAUCUGUACCAUUAAUGCUUACUGGUAUCUACUUGUACUUAAACUUUGGUAAGAAGAAGAAUCUUGCCCAAACCUUUUUUCACUGUAUUGUCUCUAAAAUGUAAUAAUUUCAUAUGUCCUGCAACAUCUAAUUAUCUGGCUAC
This is a non-coding RNA of Paralichthys olivaceus (Japanese flounder), 1948 nucleotides long. The record is from RefSeq and is a predicted model, not a curated record. Lineage: Eukaryota; Metazoa; Chordata; Actinopteri; Pleuronectiformes; Paralichthyidae.